UGCCCUGCAACUCCUAUCCCUACCUCCUCGCGGUACCGGCCGGAAACUAUGAGCAACCUUAGGGAAGUUCGGGCAACCAACCCCGGUGGAAACUUUGGUCGUAGGCUGACAGGGAAGG
Non-coding RNA from Aedes albopictus (Asian tiger mosquito), 118 nucleotides. The record is from Rfam. Lineage: Eukaryota; Metazoa; Arthropoda; Insecta; Diptera; Culicidae.